Molecule: ribosomal RNA, 522 nt
Filed under: uncultured bacterium
Lineage: Bacteria
Description: bacterial SSU rRNA
Rfam family: Bacterial small subunit ribosomal RNA
Source: RNAcentral
AGAGUUUGAUCAUGGCUCAGGAUGAACGCUAGCUACAGGCUUAACACAUGCAAGUCGAGGGGCAGCAUGGGAGUUGCUUGCAAUUCCUGAUGGCGACCGGCGCACGGGUGAGUAACGCGUAUCCAACCUUCCCCUUAGUAGGGCAUAGCCCGGUGAAAAUCGGAUUAACACCCUAUGUUCUUCACAGCAGACAUCUAACGUGAAGCAAAGGUUCACCGCUAAGGGAUGGGGAUGCGUCUGAUUAGGUAGUAGGCGGGGUAACGGCCCACCUAGCCUUCGAUCAGUAGGGGUUCUGAGAGGAAGGUCCCCCACAUUGGAACUGAGACACGGUCCAAACUCCUACGGGAGGCAGCAGUGAGGAAUAUUGGUCAAUGGGCGAGAGCCUGAACCAGCCAAGUAGCCGUGCAGGAUGACGGCCCUAUGGGUUGUAAACUGCUUUUAUAUGGGGAUAAAGUUCACCACGUGUGGUGUUUUGUAGGUACCAUAUGAAUAAGGACCGGCUAAUUCCGUGCCAGCCGCCGC